This 269-nucleotide ribosomal RNA is filed under the name uncultured prokaryote. RNAcentral describes it as "partial 16S ribosomal RNA". It matches the Rfam family "Bacterial small subunit ribosomal RNA", at positions 524 to 792 of the family's 1533-position model. The record is from RNAcentral.
UACGAAGGGUGCAAGCGUUACUCGGAAUUACUGGGCGUAAAGCGUGCGUAGGUGGUUCGUUAAGUCUGAUGUGAAAGCCCUGGGCUCAACCUGGGAAUUGCAUUGGAUACUGGCGGGCUAGAGUACGGUAGAGGGUGGCGGAAUUCCUGGUGUAGCAGUGAAAUGCGUAGAUAUCAGGAGGAAUAUCCGUGGCGAAGGCGGCCACCUGGACCAGUACUGACACUGAGGCACGAAAGCGUGGGGAGCAAACAGGAUUAGAUACCCGUGUA